This 318-nucleotide ribosomal RNA is filed under the name uncultured Methanosaeta sp. RNAcentral's name for it is "bacterial SSU rRNA". It matches the Rfam family "Archaeal small subunit ribosomal RNA", at positions 1021 to 1338 of the family's 1478-position model. The record is from RNAcentral. Lineage: Archaea; Methanobacteriati; Methanobacteriota; Methanomicrobia; Methanotrichales; Methanotrichaceae.
GCAUCCUGUUAAGUCAGGCAACGAGCGAGACCCACGUCCACAGUUGCCAGCAUACCCUCCGGGGUGAUGGGUACACUGUGGAGACCGCCGCUGCUAAAGCGGAGGAAGGAGUGGGCAACGGUAGGUCAGUAUGCCCCGAAUCUCCCGGGCUACACGCGGGCUACAAUGGUUGGUACAAUGGGCAUCUACCCCGAAAGGGGAAGGAAAUCUCUUAAAGCCAAUCGUAGUUCGGAUUGAGGGCUGCAACUCGCCCUCAUGAAGCUGGAAUCCGUAGUAAUCGCGUUUCAACAGAACGCGGUGAAUACGUCCCUGCUCCUU